AGGAGACCCAUUGCUCAGCCAUGGACUAGAUUGGAGAGUGCACGUGGGGCUGCUUCCAGGCAGCAUCUGUGGAGGUGUGAGCAGCCAGCAGCACAAGGCCGGACCCUGGAUGCUGCAGGAGCAACGGCUGCAGCUCAGCACAUCACCAUCUGUCAUCCACAUCCUCAGGGAUAGGGAUGACAUCGGCAUUGUUAUCCGGGGCAGCAUCAAUCUCCGCGACGCCACUGCGCGGAUUGUCAACCCGAAGACACUGCAUCCAACCACAGCCUGACGCACAGCCUCAGGUCAGACAGCGAGAAGGACCUGAGUCUCUUUCUCCACUUCGGGACAUGAAUGUCUGCAUCCCUGACCAACAGAGGUGCAUCCUGAGCUCUGCAGUGCAGUGCUUUUCUUCCUGAGCAAACCACCAUUUCACUGUGUUGCAUUUUUGUUCAUCUCAUUGGGUUGCGGCGAUUCCUGAAGAAAGGAAUUGCAGCUGAAUUGCAGCUGAAGAUGCAGCUCAAUUGCAGCUGAAGAAAUACCAAACCACGUGAACCUGCUGUUGUACCCUUGAAGGAAAUCCUCACCCAUGACGUGCUGUUUAUUUGCAACACAGCAAUGAAAGGGCACGGGGUGUGCUGGAAAAGUUGGGAUCUCAGCUGCUGAAAAAUGUCCUCACCUCUGAAAAUAUCACCUUAUUUGCAAUUGACGGCACCAACACUGCCUGUGGGGGAGCUGUAGGAAUUACUGGGAAGUAGAUAUGAGUAUUGCCUUUCAGUCACACACUGCAAAAAAAAAUGGUGCAAAAUAAUAAUAAAAGAGAAGCUGC
Molecule: long non-coding RNA, 808 nt
Filed under: Gallus gallus (chicken)
Lineage: Eukaryota; Metazoa; Chordata; Aves; Galliformes; Phasianidae
Description: long non-coding RNA NONGGAT005105
Source: RNAcentral